AUUAUAAAAGGGAAGAGGUCAAAGCAACAAAGCAAAAUUCAACAGCUAAGAGAAACCCCUCGAUCUGAGCCCUACAUUUACAGGAAUAAUGGUUACUGCUAAAGUCUGACAGGAACCGACAGUCUGGUCCAGUGAAAUCACUUGAUGCUUUCCCCCGGCACAGGAGCACUGUGGAGAGGAAGGAUUCACCGAUCAGUUGUUGUGGGAAUGUCACCCACACCAAACAUCUCAUCCAAUGACCCAGCCAUGGACAGUCUUUGGGCAUCCACAUUUAGUGCCCCAUGCACAAUCAGGGUGUAAAUACACAUCCCUAAGAAUAUGACAUAUUGUGGGAUUUCACAUAAUUGUCUACGAAAUGGGUCGAACUUCAAACUGUGUCAUGGAUGAUCUUGAUUCAGAACUGAGGUUGCCAGGAGAACUGUGCGAAAAUGACUCUUCAGAUGAUGAAUCAAUCAACAGAAAACGAAUCAAGCAGCCAAACCUCCCUCGGAGCCAACUAUAUUUAAAGAGACACACCGUGAGACUGGUUUUCACAAGACCACAAUGAACUGCCUCCAGCACAUCAAGGAGGCCCUCCUACACUAUAGAUGGCAGGAAGCUGCUGAGUACAUGUCCAGUUACUCACGAACACUGGAGGACAUACGACAACGCUACGCUGAGUCUUUCAGAUAAUUUGGAGGACAAGCACAGUUACUACACCACAGUUCCAUCUCGAAGCUGCAAGACUACAACAGUUUCUAUGCGUGAGUGAAACACUCAGGAGUAAAACAUUACCUGAAGUAGAUCUGUCUGGAACACUCGUUUCACCUGGUGAACGGGCAGUUUGAGUACGCCAAGCGUCAGCUGUCCAUCGCUGAGAGCUGGAGGUACGGCAAGCAGUCAGCUGAUCAGUCCCAGCGGAUUAAGCUGAUCCAGUCCUACAGUGGCUUCCUGGAUUGCUUCAUCUGGUGUGGGGGGGGAGGAAGAAGGAAAAAAAGAUCACCGUCUCCAACACCGAGAGGGUGAUCUUCAGAAGGCUCUAGGUGUGGUUCUGGAUCUCCUGGACUUAUCCAGUUGGAGGAGAAACUUGGAUGUCUGGAACCAUUUGAUGACUAUCGUCAAGAGGCUGAGGCUCAGAUUGUUGCAGAGGAGUUGGUGAACAGAAAGGACUAGUGGCUAGCAAUGCACUUCACAACAUUCCAGGCCAGGAGAGACUUGGUAGUGAAUGGGGUGCUACUGGAAGUGAAGCGCUUUGUGCUUGGAGCCUUUUGUCCUCGCUAUGCCUUCAUGUACCGUGGUGUAGGUAAGGACACCCAAAAAGGACUUACUUCCGAGGCGCAGAAGACUAAAAGGUCCAAGAAGGAUAAGGAAUCCAAGACGGCUAAUGCUCAGAAGAGAAUGCGGAAAGCAAAGCCCAGACUGACUCACUCUCCUUGCAUUGCUUUACUUCUCAAGUUCUGCGAUUGUCCACCAGGGAGAGCUCACACGAUGGCUAAGUUUUGAGUUGUUCUGAAUGCUGCUGAGCCAGUAACAGAGCUGUGUUCACUGUGUUAGUUCGUAGGGGAAAAGGAGGCUGGGUAUGCUGCAGUAUUAGGUCUAGGACACGGUACACAGUUCUCCCAACGGGUAGAUCGCGAGCUACCGGUAGCUCGCAGCCAACGUGUAUGAGUAGCUCACCAAGCAAUUCUGAAAGUACAUGCAUGUUUUUCAUGUGUUCCCAUCGCAAACUUUCAUAAACAAGCUCUUGGCUACUAUUCAACCAAAACCACAUUGACAUUAUCCUACCCCUGGUUAGCCACUAUUGGCUUAAAAAGCCCAAAUUAACACAAUCUGCCAAUUAAUUUCUGGCAAUAUUUCCUUUUGCCUCAGUCUGUCUGCUUGGUAUGUGCAUUUGUCUAUCACUCAGUAUGUUGCCAGUUAGCCGUGCUAGUAAUGAUAACCAUCUUGUGGGUAGACGGACUUUCUGCAAAAACUCAAUUAAAUGUUAACUGCAAAGUAGGCUUACCUGACAAAGAUAUGAUUAUUUUUAUCAAUUGGGUGGCCAUCCUUUUGCAAACGCUGCCAUAACGUGCUGCAGCAGUAAGCCUAACAAACAUCACUACACUGACACAUUCCCCACUUUCUGAAUGUGCAAUUAAAGGGGAGUUGCACAUAAUUUUUUUUCAGACCUCAAAAUUGCUCUUGUGAUUUUUAAAUUCUGAAAUUUCCUUCCCCAAUUACAUUUUCCGUCAAGAUAGAACUGCUGAAGGGGGCGGCGUUGCUAUCUACUGUAGAGAGAGCCUGCAGAGUUCUGUCAUACUAUCCAGGUCUGUGCCCAAACAGUUCGAGCUUCUACUUUUAAAAAUCCGUCUCGCCAGAAAUGAGUCCCUCACUGUUGCUGCUUGUUAUAGACCCCCUCUCAGCUCCAGCUGUGCCCUGGACACCAUAUGUGAAUUGAUUGCCCCUAUCUAUCGUCAGAGUUCGUACUGUUAGGU
Long non-coding RNA from Salvelinus namaycush (lake trout), 2453 nucleotides. RefSeq lists it as uncharacterized. The transcript is spliced from 9 exons. The record is from RefSeq and is a predicted model, not a curated record. NCBI's taxonomy places the organism in Eukaryota, Metazoa, Chordata, Actinopteri, Salmoniformes, Salmonidae.